UAAAAGCCCAUAUGUGUUUACAUCAGA
RNAcentral lists this non-coding RNA (27 nucleotides) under Mus musculus (house mouse). The record is from RNAcentral. Lineage: Eukaryota; Metazoa; Chordata; Mammalia; Rodentia; Muridae.